UCCGUAGGCGGUGCGGCAAGUCGGAAGUGAAAUCUCUGGGCUUAACUCAGAGGCUGCUCCCGAAACUGCCGUGCUCGAGUGCGAGAGAGGCGAGUGGAAUUGCGGGUGUAGCGGUGAAAUGCGUAGAUAUCCGCAGGAACAUCCGAGGCGAAAGCGGCUCGCUGGAUCGCAACUGACGCUGAGGGACGAAAGCUAGGGGAGCAAACAGGAUUAGAUACCCUGGUAGUCCUAGCCCUAAACCAUCAGGACUUGGGGUUUGCCCUGUACGGGGCAAGUCCCGGAGCUAACGCGUUAAGUCCUGCGCCUGGGGAGUACGGUCGCAAGGCUGAA
This 330-nucleotide ribosomal RNA is filed under the name uncultured bacterium. Its description in RNAcentral is "bacterial SSU rRNA". It matches the Rfam family "Bacterial small subunit ribosomal RNA", at positions 568 to 898 of the family's 1533-position model. The record is from RNAcentral.